GACAGAGGGGGCAAACGUUGUUCGGAUUUACUGGGCGUAAAGCGCGUGUAGGCGGCUUGGCAAGUCGGAUGUGAAAGCCCACGGCUCAACCGUGGAAGCGCACCCGAAACGGCCUCGCUCGAGUCUCGGAGAGGAAGGUGGAAUGCUUGGUGUAGAGGUGAAAUUCGUAGAUAUCAAGCAGAACACCUGCGGCGAAGGCGGCCUUCUGGACGAUGACUGACGCUGAGACGCGAAAGCGUGGGGAGCAAACAGG
This 253-nucleotide ribosomal RNA is filed under the name uncultured bacterium. RNAcentral's name for it is "partial 16S ribosomal RNA". It matches the Rfam family "Bacterial small subunit ribosomal RNA", at positions 524 to 776 of the family's 1533-position model. The record is from RNAcentral.